GCAGUCUUAGUUCGGAUUGUAGGGCUGCAACCCGCCUACAUGAAGUCGGAAUUGCUAGUAAUCGCGGAUCAGCAUGCCGCGGUGAAUACGUUCCCGGGCCUUGUACACACCGCCCGUCACACCAUGGGAGUUGGUAACACCCGAAGUCAGUAGCCUAACCGCAAGGAGGGCGCUGCCGAAGGUGGGAUCGAUGACUGGGGUGAAGUCGUAACAAGGUAAC
RNAcentral lists this ribosomal RNA (220 nucleotides) under uncultured bacterium. RNAcentral's name for it is "partial 16S ribosomal RNA". It matches the Rfam family "Bacterial small subunit ribosomal RNA", at positions 1282 to 1500 of the family's 1533-position model. The record is from RNAcentral.